GACGAACGCUGGCGGCGUGCUUAACACAUGCAAGUUGAACGGGGUACUUCAAGUAGCAAUACGAGAGGUACUUAGUAGCGGACGGGUGAGUAACGCGUGAGCAACCUACCUUUGUGAGGGGGACAACAGCUGGAAACGGCUGCUAAUACCGCAUAAGGCCACGAUCCCGCAUGGGGAUGUGGUAAAAGAUUUAUCGCACAAAGAUGGGCUCGCGUCCCAUUAGCUAGUUGGUGAGGUAACGGCCCACCAAGGCAACGAUGGGUAGCCGACCUGAGAGGGUGAUCGGCCACACUGGAACUGAGACACGGUCCAGACUCCUACGGGAGGCAGCAGUGGGGAAUAUUGGGCAAUGGGCGCAAGCCUGACCCAGCAACGCCGCGUGAGGGAAGAAGGUCUUCGGAUUGUAAACCUCUGUCCUUGGGGACGAAAAAAAUGACGGUACCCAAGGAGGAAGCUCCGGCUAACUACGUG
RNAcentral lists this ribosomal RNA (471 nucleotides) under uncultured organism. RNAcentral describes it as "bacterial SSU rRNA". It matches the Rfam family "Bacterial small subunit ribosomal RNA", at positions 28 to 507 of the family's 1533-position model. The record is from RNAcentral.